UACGGGGGGGGCAAGCGUUGUUCGGAAUUACUGGGGGUAAAGGGCUCGUAGGCGGCCAACUAAGUCAGACGUGAAAUCCCUCGGCUUAACCGGGGAACUGCAUCUGAUACUGGAUGGCUUGAGUUCGGGAGAGGGAUGCGGAAUUCCAGGUGUAGCGGUGAAAUGCGUAGAUAUCUGGAGGAACACCGGUGGCGAAGGCGGCAUCCUGGACCGACACUGACGCUGAGGAGCGAAAGCCAGGGGAGCAAACAGG
This 253-nucleotide ribosomal RNA is filed under the name uncultured bacterium. Its description in RNAcentral is "partial 16S ribosomal RNA". It matches the Rfam family "Bacterial small subunit ribosomal RNA", at positions 524 to 776 of the family's 1533-position model. The record is from RNAcentral.